UCUGCUAAGACUUUUCAUCAAGCAUCAGGUACUCAUCUUUCCUCGAUACAGGUUUCUAGAGGGCAGUUCAUCUUCUUCCCCUGAUUCUGGAUUCUGGAGCAUCUACCCAUAUGACGGGUAACUCUUCUAUGUUUACUUCUUAGAUUAUACCACCUCGUUUCCUUCGUGCUGACUUCUUGCUUUACCUAUUCAAAAAGCAAGUCUAUCUCCUUCUUUGUCUUUGUCCAAAGUUCUUUAUAUUCCAAAAUUGGACCCUUUCCAUCGAUUAGUCUUAGUCUUUU
RNAcentral lists this long non-coding RNA (281 nucleotides) under Amborella trichopoda. RNAcentral describes it as "long non-coding RNA (ATRI_LNC000674)". Lineage: Eukaryota; Viridiplantae; Streptophyta; Magnoliopsida; Amborellales; Amborellaceae. The record is from RNAcentral.